AAGCCGAGCACCGAGACGAGUCUUUUUUAGAUGAAGUCACUGAUGCCACGCUUCCAGGAAAAGCUUCUAAGCUUCAGCUCACGAAGACCGUACCGUAAACCGACACAGGUAGGUAGGAUGAGAAUUCUCAGGCGCUUGAGAGAACUCGGGUGAAGGAACUAGGCAACAUGGCACCGUAACUUCGGGAGAAGGUGCACCCUUUUUGGUGGCGCGUGCGCGUUAUAGCUGAAGAGGGUCGCAGAAACCAGG
This 249-nucleotide ribosomal RNA is filed under the name Xylella fastidiosa. RNAcentral describes it as "partial 23S ribosomal RNA". It matches the Rfam family "Bacterial large subunit ribosomal RNA", at positions 1553 to 1790 of the family's 2925-position model. The record is from RNAcentral. Lineage: Bacteria; Pseudomonadati; Pseudomonadota; Gammaproteobacteria; Lysobacterales; Lysobacteraceae.